UAUGUGAUCGUCUCUCGCAUAUCAAUAAGCGGAGGAAAAGAAACUAACAAGGAUUCCCCUAGUAACGGCGAGUGAAGCGGGAAGAGCUCAAAUUUGAAAUCUUAAAGGGUUUCCCUUUACGAAUUGUAGUUUAAAGAAGUGUUUUCUGUUGAGGUUUUGGUAAAAGUUCUUUGGAAUAGGACAUCAUAGAGGGUGAGAAUCCCGUAUUUGACCUUUACUUUCAACUUUGUGAUACACUUUCAAAGAGUCGGAUUGUUUGGGAAUGCAGUCCAAAAUGGGUGGUAAAUUUCAUCUAAAGCUAAAUAUUGGCGAGAGACCGAUAGCGAACAAGUACCGUGAGGGAAAGAUGAAAAGAACUUUGAAAAGAGAGUUAAACAGUACGCUGAAAUUGUCAAAAGGGAAGCGUUUGACACCAGUGUUGUUUUUCUGAAAAUCAAUUAAAGAACUGUUUAUGCUAAGCUGUUUAGACUUUAUCAGCUAUCUGUUUAGUUUUGAGCUUUUCUUUAAUGCACUUUUCAGUUAACAAGUCAACAUCAAUUUCUUUUGCUGUAAAAAAGCUUGAGGAAGGUGGCUUGAGAUUCGUCUUAAGUGUUUAUAGCCUCUUGCCUAUGCAGUCGGAGAGAUUGAGGUCUGCAGCGUAGAUCCUUCGGGGCUAAAUGCAUUUGUGCUAAGUUAUAGCAUUUUAUAGACAACUUGUUGACUAUGAUUUGUCUUGUAGCUUACUCGCUUAUGUUAUUUUACCUACGCUUAGGAUGUUGAGCGCAUGUCUCUCUCU
RNAcentral lists this ribosomal RNA (775 nucleotides) under uncultured Neocallimastigales. Its description in RNAcentral is "partial large subunit ribosomal RNA". It matches the Rfam family "Eukaryotic large subunit ribosomal RNA", at positions 24 to 616 of the family's 3401-position model. The record is from RNAcentral. Lineage: Eukaryota; Fungi; Neocallimastigomycota; Neocallimastigomycetes; Neocallimastigales.